Molecule: ribosomal RNA, 119 nt
Organism: Pteropus vampyrus (large flying fox)
Lineage: Eukaryota; Metazoa; Chordata; Mammalia; Chiroptera; Pteropodidae
Source: Ensembl
GUCCACGGCCAUGCCACCCUGAACAAACUUGAUCCCGUCUGAUCUUGGAAGCUAAGCAGGGUCGGGCCUGGUUAGUACUUGGAUGGGAGACCACCCAGGGAGACCAGGUGCUAUAGGCA